GACGAACGCUGGCGGCGUGCUUAACACAUGCAAGUCGAACGGAAAGGCCCUGCUUUUGUGGGGUGCUCGAGUGGCGAACGGGUGAGUAACACGUGAGUAACCUGCCCUUGACUUUGGGAUAACUUCAGGAAACUGGGGCUAAUACCGGAUAGGAGCUCCUGCUGCAUGGUGGGGGUUGGAAAGUUUCGGCGGUUGGGGAUGGACUCGCGGCUUAUCAGCUUGUUGGUGGGGUAGUGGCUUACCAAGGCUUUGACGGGUAGCCGGCCUGAGAGGGUGACCGGCCACAUUGGGACUGAGAUACGGCCCAGACUCCUACGGGAGGCAGCAGUGGGGAAUAUUGCACAAUGGGCGGAAGCCUGAUGCAGCAACGCCGCGUGCGGGAUGACGGCCUUCGGGUUGUAAACCGCUUUCGCCUGUGACGAAGCGUGAGUGACGGUAAUGGGUAAAGAAGCACCGGCUAACUACGUGCCAGCAGCCGCGGUGAUACGUAGGGUACGAGCGUUGUCCGGAUUUAUUGGGCGUAAAGGGCUCGUAGGUGGUUGAUCGCGUCGGAAGUGUAAUCUUGGGGCUUAACCCUGAGCGUGCUUUCGAUACGGGUUGACUUGAGGAAGGUAGGGGAGAAUGGAAUUCCUGGUGGAGCGGUGGAAUGCGCAGAUAUCAGGAGGAACACCAGUGGCGAAGGCGGUUCUCUGGGCCUUUCCUGACGCUGAGGAGCGAAAGCGUGGGGAGCGAACAGGCUUAGAUACCCUGGUAGUCCACGCUGUAAACGGUGGGUACUAGGUGUGGGGUCCAUUCCACGGGUUCCGUGCCGUAGCUAACGCUUUAAGUACCCCGCCUGGGGAGUACGGCCGCAAGGCUAAAACUCAAAGGAAUUGACGGGGCCCCGCACAAGCGGCGGAGCAUGCGGAUUAAUUCGAUGCAACGCGUAGAACCUUACCUGGGUUUGACAUGGAUCGGGAGUGCUCAGAGAUGGGUGUGCCUCUUUUGGGGUCGGUUCACAGGUGGUGCAUGCCUGUCGUCAGCUCGUGUCGUGAGAUGUUGGGUUAAGUCCCGCAACGAGCGCAACCCUUGUUCACUGUUGCCAGCACGUUAUGGUGGGGACUCAGUGGAGACCGCCGGGGUCAACUCGGAGGAAGGUGGGGAUGACGUCAAGUCCUCAUGCCCCUUAUGUCCAGGGCUUCACGCAUGCUACAAUGGCUGGUACAGAGAGUGGCGAGCCUGUGAGGGUGAGCGAAUCUCGGAAAGCCGGUCUCAGUUCGGAUUGGGGUCUGCAACUCGACCUCAUGAAGUCGGAGUCGCUAGUAAUCGCAGAUCAGCAACGCUGCGGUGAAUACAUUCCCGGGGCU
Molecule: ribosomal RNA, 1346 nt
Filed under: uncultured bacterium
Lineage: Bacteria
Description: bacterial SSU rRNA
Rfam family: Bacterial small subunit ribosomal RNA
Source: RNAcentral